CAUGCAUGUUGUAUGAAGCCUUUGUGGUGGAUUUGCGGACGGCUCAGUGAUACUACGAUGAUCUGAUUGAGAAGUGUCUAUGUAACGAUGGGAAACUAUUGGUAAGGGAUGCUCGGGAUAGUUGUCAAUGAUGGUCAUUAUGAAUGUUGUUGAAGUUGAUGUUAUCAAGUGAGUUGUAGGCCUAUCAACUGGUAGUUAGGGUAAUGGCCUAACUAGGUGUAGACGGGAUACGGGGGAUCAGGGUUUGAUUCCGGAGAGGGAGCCUGAGAGAUGGCUACCACGUCCAAGGAUGGCAGCAGGCGCGAAACUUGCCUAUUCCUUUGUUGGGAGGCGGUUAUGAGAAGUUACUAGUAUUUUCCGAUUGCAAAGAGAUUGGAGUUGAUUGGAGGGCAAGUCGGGUGCCAGCAGCCGCGGUAAUACCUGCUCCAAUAGUGUCUAUGGUGAAUGCUGCAGUUAAAAGGUCCGUAGUUGUGAGUUGAUGUGUAUGUCUUUCAAUGUUCCGAGGUUGCUGGGGACUGUGGAUGUAUGUGUUGUUGGUAGCAAAGGAUGGGGUGCAUGGGAUAGUUGGGCGAGAGGUGAAAUGUGAAGACCCUGACUGGACGAGGCGAGGCGAAGGCGAUGUGCUUAGACUUAUGUGGUGAUCAAGGACGAAGGCUGGAGGAUCGAAAUCGAUUAGAUACCGUUUUAGUUCCAGCAGUAAACGAUGCCGACUAUCUGAUGCGUUUGGGCAUUGGGUGAGAGAAAUUGAAGUGUUUGGGCUCUGGGGAUAGUAUGUUCGCAAGGGUGAAACUUAAAGAGAUU
RNAcentral lists this ribosomal RNA (801 nucleotides) under Microsporidium sp. BLAP1 KES. RNAcentral describes it as "SSU rRNA". It matches the Rfam family "Microsporidia small subunit ribosomal RNA", at positions 49 to 788 of the family's 1311-position model. The record is from RNAcentral. Lineage: Eukaryota; Fungi; Microsporidia.